UUUUAUCACAGAACUUUUAAUUUAUUCUCAUCAAAAGCACUCUAUUCAACUUAAUUAGGCAUUUUUUUCAAUCAUAUAUCACUGUUAGGUACACACAUGAAAAGAAAACAUAAAUGGGCCAGUUCCAGUGGCUUAGUGGUGAAGUUUGGUGCUCUCCGCUUUGGUGGCCCAGGUUCAGUUCCCAGGCAUGGACCUACACCAUUCAUCUGUCAGUGGCCAUGCUGUAGCAGCGGCUCAUGUACAAAAAGGGGAAGAUUGGCAGUAGAUAUUUGCUCGGGGCAAAUCUUCCUCAGCAAAGAAAGAAAGAAAGAAAGAAAACAUAAGCAAAACUAAUUGCUUAAGUCUCUAAAACUUCUUCACAUUCAGAAUCCAACUCUUCUGAAUCACCUUUACUCUGAGUGGCUGGUGGCCAGGUCAUUUUCAUGUAACAUUGCCCUCUGUGACAUCAAGAGCACAGAUGAUGCUACAUUCCUUCUAAGAGGGCUCCACUACCAUCUCUGGGAUUUUCUUCGGAGCUGCUGACACCCAUUUUGCAAGUUUUGAUUCUGGACUUUCUUGGUCUCACCAGAAGGUGUCAAUGGAAGAUUUACAGACAAGAACCCAGGAGUCCUUCUUCAAAUGGCCCCUAACUGGUUUGUGGCUAGAACAUGGCAGGGCUCAUGUUGUCCGGAAAAGCCACCAGGAAGAACAAUCCCCUUCUGGCACAGGCAGGCAGCAGUACCCACAUCGCGACUGUUACAUCUCCAACAGUCAUUGUGAUGAUGUCACGCCUGGUGAAAUCGCAUCCCGAUUUCAGAGACAGGAACGUGUGGAAAACCUCAAAAGGGAUGAACUUCAGUUGCUGGGUGACUGCGCUCUCGUGUGCUCUGGGCUAACUAGACUCACGCAGUUCUAGAAGCUGUAGGGAGAACCGACUCCCCCUGCUUGGUGGCAGAGGUGGCCUUUGAGCAGCAGCCUGAAGCAUAAAGAGGAAUGCACCACAAAGCCAGGGGAAGGCACUCCGGGCUGAAGGACCAGCCUGUGCCGUACAUGGAAGCAUGAAGAAUCCUGGCACCCCUGGCACCAGGACUCGAACCGGCAUAGGACCCACGACAGGGCAGGCAAUGAACAAAGGGAUGAAUGAAUUCAGCUAGUGGUAACAAACCUAGAACCAGAAGUCAAACCUCCUGACGCUUCCUUCCUGCCUCCCCCAGCCCAUGCUCAAGCUUACCUCUGAUCAAAAGGACAAUCGCCCUUUGUUAUUUACCUGGAAUUCUCUCGGAAUAUUCACCCAGAAUCCUCUUGGGUUGCUCACCCAGAAUCCUGGCUCCUCAUCUCAGAAAGUAGAACUUUCAGAACACCAAUCAAAGGCAUUUUGAGGGCAAAGGCGUGAAAAUCCUCGUUGCUAAGGCAGCUUUGCCAACUUCACUGGAUGAGGGUCUCCAGCUGUGAAAAGGAGCAUAGAAUUAAGACAGCCUUCAGUCCUCAACACCACCUCCAGCCCUGCGUUCCCACAUAAUGGUCACCGGGAGAUAUUAGCAUCUAAAUUAUUUUAAGGAGAUAUAAUAAGAUUCACCCAGCAGGCCAUUAAUGACGAAAGAGAUUAUUACUGGAAAAAAUCCAAGACUGACUUUGAGCAGAGUUGGUUCAUCUAAAUGACCCUUUCCCUGCACCUCAGAUGAUCCUGGUCCCCAGAGAUUAUACAGAUUUGAAAAAAGAAGCUGCCAUGGAACACGCGCACGCUUAUGCAAGAGGGUCUUACGGAAGGAAUCUCUGGAGAAUUAGGGUCAGGAGUGCGUAGCAGCGAGAUAAAUGAGAUGUUCCUUGAAUCGUAAGAAUCCACUGUGGCAGAAUUUACAGGAAGCAUCUCCAGUCUCCAGAUUUGGCAGGCAUCCAGCCAGAGUUGUCAAGUAUUAGAUUAAUUUUAAUUCAAUGCAAAAAACCACAUUAGUGUAGUGUUGCGAUUGAGAGUUGAAACAUACAAAAGCCAAGAGUCCUUGAAGUGAAUCAUUCCAGAGCCUGAGCGUCAUUUCAAGCGUCCAUCAAAAAGGUCCUGGUCACAGGAGUUAAAGUUCAAACUCCUGACAUGGCAUUCAAGACCCUCCAUGAUCUAGCUUCGAAUGCCCUCCACAACCCCAUCUCUCAG
This is a long non-coding RNA of Equus caballus (horse), 2125 nucleotides long. The record is from Ensembl. Lineage: Eukaryota; Metazoa; Chordata; Mammalia; Perissodactyla; Equidae.